Long non-coding RNA from Lates calcarifer (barramundi perch), 330 nucleotides. RefSeq lists it as uncharacterized. The record is from RefSeq and is a predicted model, not a curated record. The transcript is spliced from 3 exons. Lineage: Eukaryota; Metazoa; Chordata; Actinopteri; Centropomidae.
UGUCUCGGUCCUACCGUUCAUGGUCUCAACAGCUGCUGACUGACACCGGACACCGGGCUCUGCGCACGCGCAGUGACCGUCCACGCUGAGCCUGGACCAAAACUGGGAGCAGGGGCGGAUCUAGAACAUUUUGACGGAGGAGUUCAGAGUACAUUGUCAGGACAGACUGUAGCUGCAGUGAGAUGCUAUCGGAAAGUGAAGACACACUGAAGCUAGCAGGUUAGCGUGCUAACUUCAGAGGAAACAGAAGGAUAACACUGGUGUUGUUUUCCACCUCUGGACUCAGCUGGUGAUGGACUCAUCGUCCUCAUCAUCAUCAUCCUUAGACAG